RNAcentral lists this ribosomal RNA (575 nucleotides) under uncultured rumen bacterium. RNAcentral's name for it is "bacterial SSU rRNA". It matches the Rfam family "Bacterial small subunit ribosomal RNA", at positions 347 to 916 of the family's 1533-position model. The record is from RNAcentral.
GGCAGCAGCUAAGAAUAUUCCGCAAUGCACGAAAGUGUGACGGAGCGACGCCGCGUGGACGAUGAAGGCCGGAAGGUUGUAAAGUCCUUUUAUGACUGAGGAAUAAGGAAGAUGAGAGAAACGUUUUCCGGUGACUGUAGGUCAAGAAUAAGAGGCGGCUAAUUACGUGCCAGCAGCCGCGGUAACACGUAAGCCUCGAGCGUUGUUCGGAAUUAUUGGGCGUAAAGGGCAUGUAGGCGGUCAUGCAAGCUUGGUGUGAAAGGCGGGAGCUCAACUCCCGGACUGCGUUGAGAACUGCAAGACUGGAGUCACUGAGGGGCAAUCAGAAUUCCUGGUGUAGGGGUGAAAUCUGUAGAUAUCAGGAAGAAUACCAAUGGCGAAGGCAGGUUGCCAGCAGACGACUGACGCUGAGGUGCGAAGGUGCGGGGAGCAAACAGGAUUAGAUACCCUGGUAGUCCGCACAGUCAACUAUGUGCACUGGAUGUCUGGACGAUAGUCUGGGUGUCGAAGCAAACGCGAUAAGUGCACCGCCUGGGGAGUAUGCCCGCAAGGGUGAAACUCAAAGGAAUUGACGG